RNAcentral lists this ribosomal RNA (490 nucleotides) under uncultured bacterium. RNAcentral describes it as "bacterial SSU rRNA". It matches the Rfam family "Bacterial small subunit ribosomal RNA", at positions 409 to 896 of the family's 1533-position model. The record is from RNAcentral.
UGACGGCCCUAUGGGUUGUAAACUGCUUUUAUCAGGGAAGAAUAGGCUGAUAUAUAUUGGUUAUGACGGUACCUGAGGAAAAAGCGCCGGCUAACUACGUGCCAGCAGCCGCGGUAAUACGUAGGGCGCAAGCGUUAUCCGGAAUUAUUGGGCGUAAAGAGCUCGUAGGCGGUUUGUCGCGUCUGCUGUGAAAUCCCGAGGCUCAACCUCGGGCCUGCAGUGGGUACGGGCAGACUAGAGUGCGGUAGGGGAGAUUGGAAUUCCUGGUGUAGCGGUGGAAUGCGCAGAUAUCAGGAGGAACACCGAUGGCGAAGGCAGAUCUCUGGGCCGUAACUGACGCUGAGGAGCGAAAGGGUGGGGAGCAAACAGGCUUAGAUACCCUGGUAGUCCACCCCGUAAACGAUGAGAACUAGUCGUCGGGAGGGUCAGCCAUCCGGUGACGAAGCUAACGCGAUAAGUUCUCCGCCUGGGGAGUACGGCCGCAAGGUUA